UACGUAGGGGGCAAGCGUUGUCCGGAUUUAUUGGGCGUAAAGAGCGUGUAGGCGGCCAGACAGGUCCGUUGUGAAAACUGGAGGCUCAACCUCCAGACGUCGAUGGAAACCGUCUGGCUAGAGUCCGGAAGAGGAGAGUGGAAUUCCUGGUGUAGCGGUGAAAUGCGCAGAUAUCAGGAAGAACACCCGUGGCGAAAGCGGCUCUCUGGGACGGUACUGACGCUGAGGCGCGAAAGCCAGGGGAGCAAACGGG
This 253-nucleotide ribosomal RNA is filed under the name uncultured bacterium. RNAcentral describes it as "partial 16S ribosomal RNA". It matches the Rfam family "Bacterial small subunit ribosomal RNA", at positions 524 to 776 of the family's 1533-position model. The record is from RNAcentral.